GAGAUGGCUCAGCCGUUAAAGGCUAGGCUCACAACCAAAUAUAUAAAAGUUAUUUAGUUUAUUUUGAAGGGGUCAUUUUUUUAAGUGAUUUUUUUCUUAAAGCACUUACUUAAGUGCUUUAAGAAAAGACAGGCACAUGGAGAUUAGGGGACAUGUAGAGGGACUUGGUUUUUUGUUUGUUUGUUUGCUUGCUUGCUUUGUUUUUUGUUUUUUUUCCGUCCAACACUUGUGUUCCAGGAACUGAAUUCAACUUUUGUGGGAGCGGAUGUUUGUUGGAUUAUGGAUGAGUACUAGGCAGCAGAUAAACUUUGUUUAAUUUGCAUGUCCUUUACCCAGAGCCAGAAUGGAUUUUUCUGGACUGUUUUUCCAUGUGAAAUCUUGGUGGGAGGAUGGAUCCUUACAAUGGUCAUACUUUUGUGUUGGCAUGACCAUUGGUUUUAAUGUGGAGAAAAUAAAGAAUGCAUAAUUGUGCAUUC
RNAcentral lists this long non-coding RNA (476 nucleotides) under Rattus norvegicus (Norway rat). RNAcentral describes it as "long non-coding RNA NONRATT030481". Lineage: Eukaryota; Metazoa; Chordata; Mammalia; Rodentia; Muridae. The record is from RNAcentral.